CUGUUCCCCUACGAUCACCGAAGUUAAGUAACAUCGAGCCUGAUCAGUAGUUAGAUGGGUAACCAUUUAGGAAUACCAGAUGUUGUAAG
Molecule: non-coding RNA, 89 nt
Organism: Acanthosepion pharaonis
Lineage: Eukaryota; Metazoa; Mollusca; Cephalopoda; Sepiida; Sepiidae
Source: the annotation of a GenBank genome assembly